GUCUAUCCAGAGAUACUCGACAAAAUUGGAAAGAUAUAAAGAUUAGCACAGCCCUUGCACAGAGAUACCAUGCACAAAUGGAGAAAUGGUCUAACUAUUC
Eucalyptus grandis is the source of this 100-nucleotide non-coding RNA. Lineage: Eukaryota; Viridiplantae; Streptophyta; Magnoliopsida; Myrtales; Myrtaceae. The record is from Rfam.